CGCCGAGGGGCGCUGCGAUGGGCCGGCUUCGAUGAAGCCUUCCCGCCAGGCUCGGCGACGAACACCCCAACGGCGCCCGGU
This 81-nucleotide non-coding RNA is filed under the name uncultured Luteimonas sp. Its description in RNAcentral is "S-adenosyl-L-homocysteine riboswitch". It matches the Rfam family "SAH (S-adenosyl-L-homocysteine) riboswitch aptamer", at positions 3 to 72 of the family's 78-position model. The record is from RNAcentral. Lineage: Bacteria; Pseudomonadati; Pseudomonadota; Gammaproteobacteria; Lysobacterales; Lysobacteraceae.